Molecule: ribosomal RNA, 468 nt
Filed under: uncultured bacterium
Lineage: Bacteria
Description: partial 16S ribosomal RNA
Rfam family: Bacterial small subunit ribosomal RNA
Source: RNAcentral
GACGAACGCUGGCGGCGUGCUUAACACAUGCCAGUCGAACGGUAAGGCCCUGCUUUUGUGGGGUGCUCGAGUGGCGAACGGGUGAGUAACACGUGAGUAACCUGCCCUUGACUUUGGGAUAACUUCAGGAAACUGGGGCUAAUACCGGAUAGGAGCUCCUGCUGCAUGGUGGGGGUUGGAAAGUUUCGGCGGUUGGGGAUGGACUCGCGGCUUAUCAGCUUGUUGGUGGGGUAGUGGCUUACCAAGGCUUUGACGGGUAGCCGGCCUGAGAGGGUGACCGGCCACAUUGGGACUGAGAUACGGCCCAGACUCCUACGGGAGGCAGCAGUGGGGAAUAUUGCACAAUGGGCGGAAGCCUGAUGCAGCAACGCCGCGUGCGGGAUGACGGCCUUCGGGUUGUAAACCGCUUUCGCCUGUGACGAAGCGUGAGUGACGGUAAUGGGUAAAGAAGCACCGGCUAACUACGUG